Molecule: ribosomal RNA, 392 nt
Filed under: uncultured bacterium
Lineage: Bacteria
Description: bacterial SSU rRNA
Rfam family: Bacterial small subunit ribosomal RNA
Source: RNAcentral
UAUUGCACAAUGGGGGAAACCCUGAUGCAGCGACGCCGCGUGAGUGAAGAAGUAUUUCGGUAUGUAAAGCUCUAUCAGCAGGAACGAGACAAGACGGUACCUGACUAAGAAGCUCCGGCUAAAUACGUGCCAGCAGCCGCGGUAAUACGUAUGGAGCAAGCGUUAUCCGGAUUUACCGGGUGUAAAGGGAGCGCAGGCGGUACGGCAAGUCCGAUGUGAAAGCCCGGGGCUCAACCCCGGGACUGCAUUGGAAACUGCCGCACUAGAGUGCCGGAGAGGUAAGUGGAAUUCCUAGUGUAGCGGUGAAAUGCGUAGAUAUUAGGAGGAACACCAGUGGCGAAGGCGGCUUACUGGACGGUAACUGACGCUGAGGCUCGAAAGCGUGGGGAGCA